Molecule: ribosomal RNA, 253 nt
Filed under: uncultured bacterium
Lineage: Bacteria
Description: partial 16S ribosomal RNA
Rfam family: Bacterial small subunit ribosomal RNA
Source: RNAcentral
UACGUAGGGUGCAAGCGUUGUCCGGAAUUAUUGGGCGUAAAGAGCUUGUAGGCGGUUUGUCGCGUCUGCUGUGAAAUUUCGGGGCUCAACCCCGAACUUGCAGUGGGUACGGGCAGACUAGAGUGUGGUAGGGGAGACUGGAAUUCCUGGUGUAGCGGUGAAAUGCGCAGAUAUCAGGAGGAACACCGAUGGCGAAGGCAGGUCUCUGGGCCAUAACUGACGCUGAGAAGCGAAAGCAUGGGGAGCGAACGGG